RNAcentral lists this long non-coding RNA (848 nucleotides) under Pogona vitticeps (central bearded dragon). RNAcentral's name for it is "lncRNA (ENSPVIG00000017947.1)". Lineage: Eukaryota; Metazoa; Chordata; Lepidosauria; Squamata; Agamidae. The record is from RNAcentral.
UGAACAAGGGUCGCCGUCGGUCUCCAUCCUGGCGUUCCUCCUGGGGUCCCCGAGCGCUCCGCCCUCCCUCCCAAGCGGGUCUCUUGGCCCCUUAAACAGCAACAGGGACAUUGGGGCAGGUUUUCCUGAGCGUCAGAUGUUCUCACACAUACUUCGUGCCCGUGAUGAUAGACGUGCUCCCUGGAAUGGGUUGACCCUCCGCUUGCGCAGGAGCCUAAAGAGCGCAAAUCUAUGAUUUCUAUGCAGAUUUCCAGGCAGGUGGGAAUACAGGACAGGUUCUUCACUUACCUGUGGCCACCUUGAAGGACCUCAAGCUUGAGGAUGGGUUCUUUGGUGCCCGUGGAGAUCAAUGAAUAGAAAUGAUUCAUUGCACCUCUCUGCCAUCGGAUUAUAAAAAUUUGGGAUUGGAGGCUCCCCCAGCUCGUAUUUCAUGCUUUAUGCAGGCUGUUGCUCCAAGCUUGGCUCUUCCAUCUGCCCGAAGCAUUUUGCGAUUCCUCUCCAGAACCUUACCUUUUUGAAUCCACCUCACAGCCUCUGAUGAAGGAUGGGUGACCUGCUUGGCCAGUUCCUGCACGUUUCAUUCUUCAUCUCUGCAAAGUAUCAGAGAAGCCUAAAACAACAUUUUAAAAACUUUAUUAUUGCAUGGUUUUAAUGCUUGUGAGGUGCCUUUGGUAUCCUGUGGGGAAGAACGGGGAUAUUUUGAAUUUACCCCUGGCCCACAGGCACUCAGUGCUUCAAACAAUGAACAUUUUAAGACAUCAGGGACUUACUUCUUCCUGAUCAGAGGUUCAAAAAGAUUGCCCCCUCCCCCCACCUCCACAUGUAUACUCAUGUGCUGAGGACUUUUU